Molecule: ribosomal RNA, 426 nt
Filed under: Triticum aestivum (bread wheat)
Lineage: Eukaryota; Viridiplantae; Streptophyta; Magnoliopsida; Poales; Poaceae
Description: partial small subunit ribosomal RNA
Source: RNAcentral
AUGGCGUUCCCCGACGACUACAAGGGCAUGGAGGCCCACGGCAACACCAAGUUGCACGCCAUCCACACCAAUGACAAGAAGCAGAUGACGAUCUCCCUCGUGGAGUACGAGCACCACCUCAGCCUCCAGCGCCACAAGAUCUCGGUGCUGCUCUUCCAACUGAGCGCCGCUGAAAGGUGCACCAUCUUCGACAACUUCCUCGCCGACCCCAGGUACACCUUUGCAGGCUUCUCCAUCGACGGCGACAAAACCAGGCUAGAGCGCGUCAAUCUGGAGGUUGCCAACUUCGUCGACAUCCAGAAGGAGUGGAGGGUGCUCGAGGCAACGAAGGAGUUGGACUCCCUUGGAGAUGUCUCCAGCAUGCUCAUCGACGACUACUACAACAACAUGAAGAAGAAGAUCACCAAUGACAAACACAGGCGCUAG